CAGCAGCCGCGGUAACACGGAGGGUGCAAGCGUUAAUCGGAAUUACUGGGCGUAAAGCGCACGCAGGCGGUCUGUCAAGUCAGAUGUGAAAUCCCCGGGCUUAACCUGGGAACUGCAUUUGAAACUGGCAGGCUAGAGUCUUGUAGAGGGGGGUAGAAUUCCAGGUGUAGCGGUAAAAUGCGUAGAGAUCUGGAGGAAUACCGGUGGCGAAGGCGGCCCCCUGGACAAAGACUGACGCUCAGGUGCGAAAGCGUGGGGAGCAAACAGGAUUAGAUACCCCGGUAGUCCCUGUCUCUUAUAC
RNAcentral lists this ribosomal RNA (301 nucleotides) under uncultured bacterium. RNAcentral's name for it is "partial 16S ribosomal RNA". It matches the Rfam family "Bacterial small subunit ribosomal RNA", at positions 509 to 807 of the family's 1533-position model. The record is from RNAcentral.